UACGGGGGGUGCAAGCGUUGUUCGGAUUUAUUGGGCGUAAAGCGCGUGUAGGCGGUUUGUUAAGUCUGUUGUGAAAGCCCUGGGCUCAACCCGGGAAGUGCACUGGAUACUGGCAGACUUGAAUACGGGAGAGGAGAGUGGAAUUCCUGGUGUAGGAGUGAAAUCCGUAGAUAUCAGGAGGAACACCGGUGGCGAAGGCGGCUCUCUGGACCGAUAUUGACGCUGAGACGCGAAAGCGUGGGUAGCAAACAGGAUUAGAUACCCUGGUAGUCCACGCCGUAAACGAUGAGUACUAGGUGUUGCGGGUAUUGACCCCUGCAGUGCCGCAGCUAACGCAUUAAGUACUCCGCCUGGGAAGUACGGUCGCAAGACUAAA
RNAcentral lists this ribosomal RNA (376 nucleotides) under uncultured bacterium. RNAcentral's name for it is "bacterial SSU rRNA". It matches the Rfam family "Bacterial small subunit ribosomal RNA", at positions 524 to 898 of the family's 1533-position model. The record is from RNAcentral.